CCAGACUCCUACGGGAGGCAGCAGUGGGGGAUAUUGCACAAUGGGGGAAACCCUGAUGCAGCGACGCCGCGUGUGGGAAGACGGUCUUCUGGAUUGUAAACCACUGUCCCCAGGGACGAAAAUGACGGUACCUGGGGAGGAAGCUCCGGCUAACUACGUGCCAGCAGCCGCGGUAAUACGUAGGGGGCAAGCGUUAUCCGGAUUUACUGGGUGUAAAGGGAGCGUAGACGGCGAAGAAAGUCUGAAGUGAAAGCCCGCGGCUUAACCGCGGAACUGCUUUGGAAACUUUUUUGCUGGAGUACCGGAGAGGUAAGCGGAAUUCCUAGUGUAGCGGUGAAAUGCGUAGAUAUCAGGAGGAACACCAGUGGCGAAGGCGGCUUGCUGGACGAUGACUGACGUUGAGGCUCGAAAGCGUGGGGAGCAAACAGGAUUAGAUACCCGAGUA
This 445-nucleotide ribosomal RNA is filed under the name uncultured bacterium. RNAcentral's name for it is "bacterial SSU rRNA". It matches the Rfam family "Bacterial small subunit ribosomal RNA", at positions 331 to 792 of the family's 1533-position model. The record is from RNAcentral.